UGGGGAAUUUUGGACAAUGGGCGAAAGCCUGAUCCAGCAAUGCCGCGUGUGUGAAGAAGGCCUUCGGGUUGUAAAGCACUUUUGUCCGGAAAGAAAUCCUCUGGGUUAAUACCUCGGGGGGAUGACGGUACCGGAAGAAUAAGCACCGGCUAACUACGUGCCAGCAGCCGCGGUAAUACGUAGGGUGCAAGCGUUAAUCGGAAUUACUGGGCGUAAAGCGUGCGCAGGCGGUUUUGUAAGACGGAUGUGAAAUCCCCGGGCUUAACCUGGGAACUGCAUUCGUGACUGCAAGGCUAGAGUAUGACAGAGGGGGGUAGAAUUCCACGUGUAGCAGUGAAAUGCGUAGAGAUGUGGAGGAAUACCGAUGGCGAAGGCAGCCCCCUGGGCCAAUACUGACGCUCAUGCACGAAAGCGUGGGGAGCAAACAGGAUUAGAUACCCUGGUAGUCCACGCCCUAAACGAUGUCAACUAGUUGUUGGGGACUUCAUUUCCUUAGUAACGUAGCUAACGCGUGAAGUUGACCGCCUGGGGAGUACGGUCGCAAAGAUUAAAACUUAAAGGAAUUGACGGGGUCAUAGCUGUUUCCU
Molecule: ribosomal RNA, 587 nt
Filed under: uncultured bacterium
Lineage: Bacteria
Description: partial 16S ribosomal RNA
Rfam family: Bacterial small subunit ribosomal RNA
Source: RNAcentral